UUACCCCAGUUGUAAAGGAGAAGUGUCUCACACAGGGCUGGGCAUGAAAUAAAUGUGUUUCAAUCCUUCUUUUUGUGUCCUCUCCAGCACGCACUAGAAUGUUGAAUGUUCAGUGGGUAUCUUGGCCAAACAUACAAGAAAAGUGCAAUCAUAUAACCAAAGUAAUUCAUUUCAAAGUUGCUUCCUUAACUACAGUUGCUCUUUGAGGUCAUGGGAAAUGAAGAAACCUUUCCUCUUUCAUUAGAAUCAUAGCCUUUGCUUAGUAGUUUAGAGAUUUCCUCUAUACAUUACCAGGGAAAGAACUAGAAUUUGGAUAUUUUCAACCAUUCAUCCUAUAUUUUUAUUUCUGAUGUCUCAGACUCAUCUCUCAUGCAGCUCCUAAAGCUUAAUUUUUUUUUUUUUUUUUUUUCAGAACCAAGACUCCAUGCUGCUGUGCAAAUAGCCUGGCAGGAGAGAUCUGGUGUGUGAGGGUCUAAAUCUUCCAGCUGGAGAAUAAGGAGUUGUCCAGCUUCUUUUGGGCCUGCAGAGUGGACUUCUGGGACCAGAUUGAUUUGAUGCUGCAGCUCUGUGAUGCUGCCAAUGACCAGAUUUGUAUAAGAAUGAUGAAGAGAGGGAUCCCUGGGUGGCACAGCGGUUUGGCGCCUGCCUUUGGCCUAGGGCGCGAUCCUGGAGACCCGGGAUCGAGUCCCACGUCGGGCUCCCUGCAUGGAGCCUGCUUCUCCCUCUGCCUAUGUCUCUGCCUCUCUCUCUCUCUCUGUGUGUGCCUAUCAUAAAAAAAAAAAAAAAAAGAAUGAUGAAGAGAGGGUCUGAGUCUGUUAGCCAUACAAUUUUUAAUUGUCCAAGUUCAUUUCUUUAGAAUACUUUCAUAAGAUAUGUGAAUGUAACUGAGUCAAAGUGUUUUGCUUUUUUUUUUAAACCUCAUUACCUUUCUGAUUCACAUAUGACUUAGUGUCAGUGGGAUCAUGUUAUUUUCACUUUCUUCUCUGCCCACUACCUGGACAGUGGGUAAGUUCUAAAUUCCUUCUAAAUUCUAAAUUCCUUCCAUUUACUUACGGCUCAUUCGAAGCAAUUUUGCUCUUGAUUCUAUAGUGUGGGCUUCUUCUGACUCUGAUCUGUUGGGUAGUGGAGCUGAUUUGGACUCUGUUCUAAGACAAUCCCCUAAGAUUUUACCAGUGACUGGAAUUCAGUUCUUCCAACAUGCCUUAUCCUUGACCCUUACCCAUUUGGAGAUUUGAAGCUGGGGCCAGUCCCAUGUGAAUCCUCAGAGUUGUUCCUCAACCAUGUUCUUAUGAGCAAUGCUUUAAUCUAGACUUCUUCCCCACAAAGAGUGAGUGUCCUUCUCUCCUGCCAACGUGAUUUGCCACUUGGAGCCAGUCUUGUUCCUGCUCCUUUAGCAUAGUCACUGAUGGAACUCUUGGUGACAGAUUGAGGUGGACCCAGUUUGAUAUUCUGCUGUGAGCUAGUGCUGCAGAAUACAGAUCCUUCCUCUGAUUCAGGUAUUAGCUUCCUUAAUCCAGAAUCAAGUCAUUGGAUUCUUUCUGUAUUUUUACUGGUGUUGAAACAAACAAAUAAAAAUACCCUCCUCUGGUAUGCAGUUUAAAGGCUUAGAAGUGGUGAGAUAUAUUUGACACUGUGAAAUUCUGAAUUUUAAAGGGAAGUACAACUGAAAAAUUUGCAAAAGUCUAACCUGUUACUAAAAAUAUAUAAUAAAUAUCAGCAACUUUUAGAAACUUGGCAAUUCCCAAUAAAUGACUAUAGCAGAUGGUUUUAUAAUUUGGUUAGUCACUUUUAUUAACGUUCAUAGUUGGCAGCUAAUCUGGUUAUUAAUCUUAACU
Molecule: long non-coding RNA, 1835 nt
Filed under: Canis lupus familiaris (dog)
Lineage: Eukaryota; Metazoa; Chordata; Mammalia; Carnivora; Canidae
Description: lncRNA (ENSCAFG00040005701.1)
Source: RNAcentral